GACAGAGAGACAGAGAAAGAGAGAGUGAGUGAAAGAGAGAGAGAGAGAGAGAGAGAGAGAGAGAGAGAGAGAGAGAGAGAGAAAGAAGGUAAAUGUUAUCGAGAUCAGACGUUGUCUUGGAACGUUCGAGUUUUUGUCGAGCGUGAGAUGGUCCUCGUGAAGCGUCGUCACAAAGGUGAAAUCAGUCGGGUCAGGGACAUCGAGUUGGAAAGAGGAAAUCGUCGUCGUCGAGGCUGUCACUGCAAUAGGAGAGUCUCGAAAACGUCGUUGGCGUCGUUGAAGGAGAGACCGAGAGAAGGAGAAUAAAUAAAAGAGCCUCGUGACGGAGGGACUUCGUACGGCCCUGGCGCGGCUGCGGCACUGCGCCCCCACAGGGGGCUCUCUGCCAAAUACCCCGAAUCUACCCUCUACCCCCGAACAUAAGGCUCACAUCGUAAAACACGUCGAACGACAAUAAUCAUUCGUAACGGGAGGAGCGGCUAGUCUCGAAGAUGGCGAAUUUAUCGGGACGCCUCAUUAAAAAAAAGGGAAGGAAUGGAAGGAAGAAAUCGUGUUUCUUGCUAAUAGCGGUACCCAAUCACGUGCAUAGCUCUAUCCAGCUCGCGAGACAUUUAAUCGAAAAGGGAUGUUUGGAGAAUCGUGGCUCCCCUGGGAGGAGCGGCGGAG
Molecule: long non-coding RNA, 666 nt
Organism: Vespa mandarinia (Asian giant hornet)
Lineage: Eukaryota; Metazoa; Arthropoda; Insecta; Hymenoptera; Vespidae
Source: RefSeq, a predicted model, not a curated record